AGUUGUCAUUUUGGUAAAUUGGGAAUAUUCCCCCUACUACUUUAUUUACAGACGCUCACUUUAACCUAAUAACCCAUGGUAACGUUAAAAGCAUCUCCAAUAGUGUUUUAUUUUAUACUUCUUGCUUCACUUUUUGUCCCAUUGCUACUUCAAUUUUUUUUUUUUUUUUCACUUUUUGAAGAAUUGAACAGUAUUAGUAUUUCUUCAAAUUUGUCAUCAACUUUACAGGCUCAUAUUGACUAUGUGAACCACACUGAGAGAUCUUGAUUCAUGUGAACUACAAAAGACGUUUUCUUCCUAGCACUGCGGGCUAAGUUAUCCGCAUUCUUGUUCUACGUUCUUGGUACAUAGAUAAACUAUGCUCGGAAAAACUCUCUUUCAGGCUGUUUAUAUCUUCUAAAUAACUUGCAAACGCUGGCUAUUCUUCUGGUUCUGAAACCAUCUUCACCAAUUGAGAACAAUUCGUUGCAAACGUAACCUGAAAUUGUCGUAAGUUUUUCAUGCAUUUCAUUGCCCAUAGUAACGCUUCCAUCUCUGCAUGAAGAGGAGAGAGGGAAGCCCGGACAUUCCUUGCUCCCAUCAAGCCCUCAAAUCCUUCUAAGGUAUUGUACCAUUUUUGACCUGCAAAAAUAUCAUUAUCUUUCCAGGAACCAUCCGUAAAACACUAUCUUCCUGGAAUUGACGGAAGAAUCGUAGCCUCUACCUGUGGAGUCCUCUUUUGGUCAUUCAAUAUUUGUGCCUAAGCCCAGAGUUUUGAUUAUGUUUCUGCCAGUUUAACGGUAUCCAGAGGAUCCACAUCCAGUUUACUAAAGACUUUGUUAUUUCUUCCUUUCCAGAUGUACCAUAGUAUCCAUGCAAACUGAUGAUCCUCCAUCUGUGGAACAACUCUCCAAAAGAGAUGAUUCAUGUUCACAAAGAGAGAGCUUGUUGGGAACAUAGCUAGAUUUGUUGGAAUCUUUGAAAGAGCCCAUACCUGAAGUGCAGGAGGGUAUUCAAAAAAAACAUGGUUGAUCGAUUCCUCCUCAGCUCCACAUCUUGCACAACAGAUGUCUCCGGGUAUCCCUCGCAUAUGCAAAUUUUUCUUAACUGCUAUGCACCCUGUCACCAAUUGCCAUAGAAAAUGCUUAAUUUUCGGUGGACACCGUAUUUUCCAACAAUAUGCCUUCAAAAUAUCCACCGUGGGUCCAAACACUAAUGGUGGUUUUUCCUUAUCUGGGUAUAUCCUUUCAACCUGAUAUCCAGAUUUAACCUUAUAUUUUCCAUUAUUUGUGAAAUGCCAUCCUUCUUGAUCUGCCAUCCGAGUUCUACUCAGUGGUAUACUUUCUAUCAAUUUCACCUCCUCUGGAUUCACAAAGCCCGAAGCGCCAGUGAAUUCCAUCUUCGAAAAUGAGGAUCAAUAAAAGAAUCCACUGUAAGGUCUGGGUAAAGAUUGUGUUGAUUUUUAUUAGCUGGUCUCGGGCGAGUGGUUGGGAGCCAAGGAUCAUUCCAUAUGGAUAUAGAGGAUCCUGUUCUCACCCUUUUGAUUAGUCUUUUGUUUACCAAAGAUCUAGCAGAUACAAUACUCCGCCAGCCAUAUGACGGAAAAUAUGAACGAAUCGGAUUCAGGGGUGAUGCAUUCCUAUAAUGCCGACCUUUAAAAACUCGAGAAAAAUAAAGUAUUUGGCUUCUCUAUCAGCCGCCAUAAUUGUUUACCAAUCAUCGCUGUGUUGAAAUCAGUGAUAUCUUUAAACCCUAAACCUCCAUCGUCCUUACUAAUACAUACUUUAUCCCAUGAUUUCCACUGCAUUCCUUUUGUAUUACCGCCAGGGCUCCACCAAAAUUGUGAUACCGCACUUGUCAGUUUUUUUUGCAGUAGCCUUGGGUAAACGAUAGAAAGACAUCACAUAAUUUGGCAAAGCCGUAAUCACUGAUUUGAUGAUCACUUCCUUUCCUCCUUUCGUAAAGAACUUAAAAGUCCAGCCAUUGAUCCUAUUAUUUAGCCGAUCCUGUAUGAAGACAAAAACUUGUAUCUUAGAACCCCCAAGACUUUCCGGCAGGCCUAGAUAAGUUCCCAUCCCUCCCAAAUUCUGUAUGCCCAAAAUAUCUCUUAGCUCUGACAGAUUCUUCGAUCUUGUGCCCAAAUUGAAUUAAAAACUUAUCAAAGUUUAUUAGUUGACCUGAAGCUAUCUCAUAUUCCUUUAAAAUCCUGAGAAUGGUGUGACACUCUUCCUUUUGAGCUUUACAAAAAAAGAGACUAUCGUCCGCAAAAAGCAAAUGUGAUAUUGAAGGGCAUGCUCUAACCACCUUUAUUCCUGUUAAUUAUUUCUCCCUCUCCGCCUUCUUAAUAUUUGCUAUCAAAGCCUCGGUGCACAGAAUAAAUAAAUAGGGAGAUAAAUGAUCUCCUUGACGUAAACCCCUUUGUGGCACAAUGAGGCCCCGAGGUUGACCAUUUAAAAGGACCCGAUAUUCAAUCGAUGAUAUACACUCCACCAUUAGUUUAAUCCAAUGGUCAUGAAACCCCAUUUUCUGUAGUAAUGCCUUAAUAAACUCUCAUUCUACCCUAUCGUAGGCCUUACUCAUAUCUGUUUUGACUGCCAUAUACUUUCCUUUACACGCCUCAUUAGUCCGUAAUCCCUGAAACAUUUCUUGUGCUAUAAGAAUAUUAUCAGAAAUCAGCCGUCCUGCCACAAAUGUCGAUUGCGUUUCUGAUACGAGAGAGGGUAGCAACAACUUCAAACGUUAACACAAAACCUUCGAAAUAAAUUUAAUACCCUACAUUACAUAAACUAAUAGGUCGCAACUCCGUCAUCCUUGUAGGUUUUUCUAUCUUUGGAAUCAUACACAUAUUAGUAAUAUUUAACCUUGAAUCCAUUUCUCCAGAAACCAAAAAAUCAUUCACCAUCUCCAUCAAAUCUCUCUUAAUAAUAUGCCAUGAGUGUUGAAAAAAAAGAGUUGUCAUGCCAUCCGGUCCUGGUGCCUUCUCUGGAUGUAUUAUAAACAGAGCCUCUGUGGCCUCAUCCUCUGUCGCUAUCCUCAAUAAUCGUUGAUUCAUCUGUGGAGUUAUGCCCGGUGUUACAUCUUUGAAGAAAUACUAUUCACUUUUUCAUUUUUCGAAGAUACACUUUUUAAUUAUAGAUUGGUCCUUUAACUUUAGUUUGUUUUUAUUUAAAGAAACUAUAAGAGCUAAUAUUACCAACUUAAUUUUAAAGUUUUUAUAAAUUAUUUUUAUUCAAUCAAUUUAAAAUAUUAAAUAUACUAAAAACAUAUUUUUUCUUUUUUUUACUAAUAUUUUAGAUGAAACACAAUUAAAUAAAUAAUAUAAAACUGAAAUACAUGAUAAACACCAAACUAAAUAUAUAAAAAAAUUGGUGCAUCAUAAACUAAGACUUAAUAAUCUGGUAAACCACUUCCAGAUCCACUAAGGUUAUUAAAAUAUUGUUCAAAUGAAGUUGCCGCUUGAAAAGGCUCUUGAGCUUGUUGUUGUUCACUCCUUUCUACUAAAAUUCGAUUUUGCUCAUAUUGAAUUUAUGCAUGAAUGUUAGGGUCUUGUAUGGAGUUCAAAUCACGAAAUAAAAUUUUGUUCUCUUCUUUAAAUUUCUUCACAGCAUAAUUCUUGUUUUGAAUCUCCAAAUGUUGUAGUCUUUGUGCGCUUAUUUUCUCUAAUUGCUCCAAUAGUUUUUAUUUCCUUCUUCCAAUUUGUUAAUAACAAAUGAUGUUUGAUCAUCAUUUUUUUCUUUUGAGUUUGACUUUUUUACUCCAAUUGGUUUUUAGAUGAAGAUCCACUCAUUCUAUCUUCUUCAUCAUCUAAAUUCAUAGAAAAUGUAGACAAACCUGGAGAUUCUUGUGUAGCGGAAUCAGAUAUAACAUUUUCCAACUCUGAACUGCAUCCCCAAAACCACAUGAGUUUGAUACUUUUCUCGUGGAUGUGUCACCAUCUUUAAACUUUUCAAAAUUCUUUAUAAUGCUCCAUACAUGAUCGAAUUUCCAACCUCUUUUGUAUUUUGGAUCACCCAAUAACAUAAAUUUGGCUUGUUUAAACUGCAUAUAAUUUAAAAACAGAAAACAUUAUUGCAAAGUAAGUAAAAUAUAUAUUAAACAAAUUAAAAACACUUACUAUGUCAUCAUUUGAAGCACAGCUUGGACAUAUGUUUUCACAUUACUUGACGCAUGGAUGCAAUUUCUUUGUUGCUUUCUCAACAGUUUGAAUUCAACAAUGGAUGUCUUUCUUUCUACGUUCACUCCAACUUGCAUCUUUUCCUUUCUCGUAAGCAGCUGCUACAUGAGACCAAAAUUGGCCGAACGACUGAUAAACACCUUUGAUUGGAUCUUGAGAUAUUUUCAUAUAUACUUGACAUAAAAGCAUAUCUUCUUCAUGAGUAUAUCUAGCAGAACGUAACGGCAUUUUUGUAAAGAAAGUUAAAAUAAAAUGUAGAUGCAAUAGAAAAUAGAAUGAUUCAAUGUUGUGAAUGAAAAUAUAAAACUCAACAUGUUAUUUCGGAUACUAGCUUAUGAUUUUCCCGGUGAUGCAGCUGAUGAAUCAUAAAAAUUGGUGAAUCAACAAAAAAUCGAAAGUGUGAAAAGAUUUUGUCGGACAAUUGUGGAAAUAUUCUCAGAGGAAUACUUACGAUCACCAAUACCUGCCGAUGUUUAAAACUGCUGAAGAUUGGUGAAAAGUGAGACUUUCCGUAAAUGUUGGGUAGCUUAGAUUGCAUGGAAAAAUUGUUUGACCGCUUGGGCUUGACUUUAUGCAGGUCGUUGUGGAUCACCAACUAUAAUUCUUGAAGCUGUUGCGGAUUACGUUCUUUGGAUAUGACAUGCAUAUUUCAGGAUGUCGGGCAGCAAUAAUGAUAUCAAUGUCUUGGAGUCUUCACAUCUUUUCUCCAGUCUUACUCAAGGUAUUCAAGGCAAAGAAUAUAACAUGGGCUAUUAUUUAGCCGAUGGUAUAUAUCCAAAAUGGUCUACCAUAGUGCAAACUAUUCAUGAGCCAGUGUGUUCGAAGAAGAAAUAUUUUGCUACAUAACAAGAAGCAUGUUGGAAAGAUGUGGAACAUGCCUUUGGAGUUCUUCAAUCACGCUUUGCAAUUGAGAAAGGACCAGCUCGUUUUUGGAAAAAAAAUGUGACACAUGACAUAAUGACUACAUCUAUAAUUUUAAAUAACAUGAUAAUUGAAGAUGAGCGUCAUCUUGAUGCUCCAAUUGAAGUUGGUGGAGAAGUUCCACUUCCAGAGGUUGAUAUCGAAGAGCAUGAUGAUAUCCGUUUUCAAGAAUUUUUAGCUUGAUUUAGAAGAAUUAAAGAUCAAGAAGCUCAUUUCACUCUUCGGAACAAUUUAAUUGAACACAUGUGAGAAAAAUAUACAUCUCAUGCUUUUUUAUAAAAUCUAGUGUUCUUGUGUUAUUUAUUUAUGUUAUGUGUACUAACUAUAUUAUAUGGUAAUGUUUAUUUUAUAUUAGUUAGCAAUUGUGAUGAACUAUUGUUAAAAUAAAAUAAUUGGGUAAAAUUAAUAAACAAGCAAAAGUAAAAAGUGUUAUUGAUAAAUAAUGAUAAAACUGAAAAGGAAUGUAUAUGGAAUAUUGUUUUUGGAAGAAAAAAACGAAAUAAAUUAUUGGAGAACAUAUUUCUUCAUUUUUUGAAGAAAUUCAUAUUUUGAAAGAAAAAAAAGUUUACCAUUAGAGAUGCUCUAAGGAAACAUAGCCGAAAAAAUAAAAAGAUAUUAACCAAAAAAUUUGGAAAGCACAAAUUAUGGAGUACCUAUUGAUAGAAGAGGGGUUCUAAGCGAUCACUAGCAAAGAUGUGUCGAAUGCAAUGCAUCAAAUGGUAGAAAUUAAUUGAAAAGAAGUGUGUAUACAGAUAACGGACCUACUAUUGACCACCCUUUGUAACUACUAGUAAUCUCUUACGUGUGAGAGCGUUUUAGUCUAGUGUAAUAAAGGAAUUAAUGUUUCUACAUAGCUCUAUAAGUGACUAAGAGCACGUUUAUAGGCAACUCUUAACCUCAUGCCUUAGGUUAAUUAAUCAAAAAAAAAGAAGAGGAAAACACGGAGUAAAACGAAAGGACGUUCCUUAAUUAAGUGUUUGAAGACGCGUUCCUUGGUGCGACGUGUCAACCUGUAUUGGGUAGAGGAACGGUGAAGUCGUUCUCGUUUCUUUCUCUCUUUUCUUUCUCUUCUCGUUUGCUCCGUAAAGGUGACGAAAAUGGCGAUUGUUUCGCCCUCUCGGUGGAGGUCGUCGACGUCUACAGGGGUUUCUCUCGUCGAUGAUGGACAAAGGCGAUUUCUCUCUCUCGUUGCUCUCCUCGACGAAGGAAACGGCGAUUGCUCUCUCUCGGUGCUCUCCUCGACGAAACGGUGAUUCCUCUCCCUCGCGGUGGCUCUCGUCGAGGAAAGAAGACGGUGAACUCUCAAUCGGUGGCUAUCUCUCUCUCCUGGUGGCUCUCUGAAACGGCGAUUGUUUCUGAAGGGAAUCGAAAGAUGGAUCAAGACGCAUGAUCCAGGAUUGAGCUAGAGGCGUGAAGUGGGCACAAAACCUGUCUCUUUGGCAGACAAAACCGCAAAUCGCAAAGGUUGUUUGAUCAAGAUGCUUGAUCCAGUUGGUGAGACAAAAACGAAG
Long non-coding RNA from Brassica napus (rape), 6585 nucleotides. RefSeq lists it as uncharacterized. The transcript has 3 exons. NCBI's taxonomy places the organism in Eukaryota, Viridiplantae, Streptophyta, Magnoliopsida, Brassicales, Brassicaceae. The record is from RefSeq and is a predicted model, not a curated record.